UACGAGGGGUGCAAGCGUUGCUCGGAAUCACUGGGCGUAAAGGGUGCGUAGGCGGGUCUUUAAGUCAGGGGUGAAAUCCUGGAGCUCAACUCCAGAACUGCCUUUGAUACUGAAGAUCUUGAGUUCGGGAGAGGUGAGUGGAACUGCGAGUGUAGAGGUGAAAUUCGUAGAUAUUCGCAAGAACACCAGUGGCGAAGGCGGCUCACUGGCCCGAUACUGACGCUGAGGCACGAAAGCGUGGGGAGCAAACAGG
Molecule: ribosomal RNA, 253 nt
Filed under: uncultured bacterium
Lineage: Bacteria
Description: partial 16S ribosomal RNA
Rfam family: Bacterial small subunit ribosomal RNA
Source: RNAcentral